RNAcentral lists this ribosomal RNA (496 nucleotides) under uncultured marine eukaryote. Its description in RNAcentral is "SSU rRNA". It matches the Rfam family "Eukaryotic small subunit ribosomal RNA", at positions 583 to 1082 of the family's 1831-position model. The record is from RNAcentral.
UUCCAGCUCCAAUAGCGUAUAUUAAAGUUGUUGCGGUAAAAAAGCUCGUAGUUGGAUUUCUGUUGCGAAUGGCCGGUCUUCACUACGUGAAUGUAUCUGGUUCAAUCGUGGCAUCCUCAUAGGAAACGUUGCUGCGCUUCACUGCGUGGUGCGGUGCCUAUGACUUUUACUUUGAGGAAAUUAGAGUGUUCACGGCAGGCAAUCGCCCUGAAUAUGUUAGCAUGGGAAUAAUAAUAUAGGAUCUUGGUUCUAUUUUGUUGGUUUCUAGAGCUAAGAUAAUGGUUAAUAGGAACAAUUGGGGCAUUUGUAUUAACAUGUCAGAGGUGGAAUUUCUUUGGAUUAUGUUACGACAAACUACUGCGAAGCAUUUUGCCAAGGAUGUUUUCAUUGAUCAAGAACGAAAGUAAGGGGAUCGAAGAUGAUUAGAUACCGUCGUAGUCUUUACCAUAAACUAUGUCAACUCGGGAUGUAGCGUCGUUCUUUUAUGACUCGCUGC